RNAcentral lists this non-coding RNA (21 nucleotides) under Caenorhabditis elegans. Lineage: Eukaryota; Metazoa; Nematoda; Chromadorea; Rhabditida; Rhabditidae. The record is from RNAcentral.
UGGGGCAACAACAAUUUCGUU